This 352-nucleotide ribosomal RNA is filed under the name uncultured bacterium. Its description in RNAcentral is "partial 16S ribosomal RNA". It matches the Rfam family "Bacterial small subunit ribosomal RNA", at positions 338 to 707 of the family's 1533-position model. The record is from RNAcentral.
CCUACGGGUGGCUGCAGUAGGGAAUAUUGCUCAAUGGGGGAAACCCUGAAGCAGCAACGCCGCGUGGAGGAUGAAGGUUUUCGGAUUUUAAACUCCUUUUGUUAGAGAAGAUAAUGACGGUAUCUAACGAAUAAGCACCGGCUAACUCCGUGCCAGCAGCCGCGGUAAUUCGGGGGGUGCAAGCGUUACUCGGAAUCACUGGGCGUAAAGAGCGCGUAGGCGGGAUAGCAAGUCAGAUGGGAAAUCCUAUGGGUUAACCAUAGAACUGCAGUUGAAACUGUUAUUCUAGAGUGAGGGAGAGGUAGGGGGGAAGCGUGGGGUAGGGGUUAAAUCCGGAGAGAUCAAGGAGAAA